Molecule: small nuclear RNA, 154 nt
Organism: Cricetulus griseus (Chinese hamster)
Lineage: Eukaryota; Metazoa; Chordata; Mammalia; Rodentia; Cricetidae
Gene: U1
Rfam family: U1 spliceosomal RNA
About the family: U1 is a small nuclear RNA (snRNA) component of the spliceosome (involved in pre-mRNA splicing).
Source: Ensembl
AUAAUUAUCUAGUGACAGAGAAACUAUGAUAAAGAAGGUGGCUUUCCCAGGGCAAGCCUCACUUAUUGCACUUUGAUAUGCUGACUUUUGCGAAUUGGAAAACUUGACGAUAUAAUUUGUGGUGGACUGGGGUUGAGUUCAUGCUCUUCUUUGA